Molecule: ribosomal RNA, 254 nt
Filed under: uncultured bacterium
Lineage: Bacteria
Description: partial 16S ribosomal RNA
Rfam family: Bacterial small subunit ribosomal RNA
Source: RNAcentral
UACGGGGGGAGCAAGCGUUGUUCGGAUUUACUGGGCGUAAAGGGCGCGUAGGCGGCCACCGCAAGUCGGUUGUGAAAUCUCCGGGCUUAACCCGGAAAGGUCAAUCGAUACUGCGGGGCUAGAGUGCAGAAGGGCAACUGGAAUUCGUCGGUGUAGCGGUGAAAUGCGUAGAUAUCAGGAGGAACACCAGUGGCGAAGGCGAGUCCCUGGACGAUACCUGACACUGAGGCACGAAAGCCAAGGGAGCAAACAGG